This 868-nucleotide ribosomal RNA is filed under the name uncultured bacterium. Its description in RNAcentral is "bacterial SSU rRNA". It matches the Rfam family "Bacterial small subunit ribosomal RNA", at positions 26 to 898 of the family's 1533-position model. The record is from RNAcentral.
AGAACGAACGUUGGCGGCGUGGAUAAGGCAUGCAAGUCGAACGAAUCCCAGAGGGCUUGCUUUCUGGGGAAAGUGGCGAAAGGGGCAGUAAUGCGUGGGUAACCUACCCUCGGGACGGGGAUAGCCUUCCUAACGGAAGGGUAAUACCCGGCGACGUAGCGAAGGGGCAUCUCUUUGCUACCAAAGGAAUCUCGCCCGAGGCGGGGCUCACGUGCUAUUACCUAGUUGGCGGGGUAACGGCCCACCAAGGGAAAGAUGGCUAGCCGGUGUGAGAGCACGACCGGCGCCACUGGCACUGCGACACUGGCCAGACUCCUACGGGAGGCUGCAGUCGAGGAUCUUCGGCAAUGGGCGCAAGCCUGACCGAGCGACGCCGCGUGCGCGAUGAAGGCCUUCGGGUUGUAAAGCGCUGUCGAGGGGGAGGAAAGCCCGUAAGGGUCUGACCUAUCCCUGGAGGAAGCACGGGCUAAGUUCGUGCCAGCAGCCGCGGUAAGACGAACCGUGCGAACGUUGUGCGGAUUCACUGGGCUUAAAGGGCGCGUAGGCGGGUCACCAAGUCCGGGGUGAAAUCCUUCGGCUUAACCGGAGAAUUGCCUGGGAUACUGGUGGUCUCGAGGGAGGUAGGGGCCGCGGGAACUUCCGGUGGAGCGGUGAAAUGCGUUGAUAUCGGAAGGAACGCCGGUGGCGAAAGCGCGCGGCUGGACCUCUUCUGACGCUGAGGCGCGAAAGCCAGGGGAGCAAACGGGAUUAGAUACCCCGGUAGUCCUGGCCCUAAACGAUGGGUACUAGGUAGCGGACUGGACAUGGGUUCGCUGCCGAAGCUAAAGUGCUAAGUACCCCGCCUGGGGAGUAUGGUCGCAAGGCUGAA